This is a non-coding RNA of Cherax quadricarinatus, 399 nucleotides long. NCBI's taxonomy places the organism in Eukaryota, Metazoa, Arthropoda, Malacostraca, Decapoda, Parastacidae. The record is from RefSeq and is a predicted model, not a curated record.
AAACCUAGAGAUGGUAUAAAUAAAAAAAAAUUUUGAGCAUUUAAUAAAAAAUGGAACUUAAAAUUAAAUGAAGUAUUUUAAAUACAGUACAUUUAUAUAAUUCUUUUACCUGCCUCCUUCACCUGAAUAACCAUCAGUGUCAGUCCCAUACCCCAGGUACCUAGAUAAUCAUCAGUGUCAGUCCCAUACCCCAGGUACCUAGAUAACCAUCAGUGUCAGUCCCAUACCCCAGGUACCUAGAUAACCAUCAGUGUCAGUCCCAUUCCCCAGGUACCUAGAUAACCAUCAGUGUCAGUCCCAUUCCCCAGGUACCUAGAUAACCAUCAGUGUCAGUCCCAUACCCCAGGUACCUAGAUAACCAUCAUUGUUAGUCCCAUACCCCAGGUACCUAGAUAACCA